ACGUUCGCUCACUUCCUCUCCCCCUACUCUCUCCCUCUCCCAUCUCCCCAAUCCCUGCUCCACGAGCCACCACCGCCUCCGCCACAACCCCUCAUCUCCCCCUACGUCGUGCCUCCUCCCUCUCGAUGGUGCCUUGGCAUGCUCCCAAUCAAUAAUUCCUUGAGCUCGUCGGCAUACUGCUGUUAACGACCAGCAUCAACAACUGCAUGGAUUCGGAGGUGGCAGCAACAGGCGGAUCGAGCGCUAGUGGUGUUUGGUGCUCUCACGAGCAAAUCCGGCAACAGCAAGGGCUCUAGCAGGCGGAUCCAGCGGUGGGUGCUCUUGCGAGCACAUCCGGCAGUAGCAAGGGCUCUAGCAGGCGGAUCCAGCGGUGGGUGCUCUCGCAGGCCGAUCCAGUGGCGGCAAGGGCUCUCACGGCGGUGGCGGCGGGUGCCAUCGUGGGCUGAUCUGGUGGCAGCAAGGGCUCUAGCAGGCGGAUCCAGCGGCGGCAAGGGCUCUCGCGGCGGCGGGUGCUCUUGCGGGCAGAUCCAGCAGUGACAAUGACUUGUGGGCGGAUCCAGCGAUGUCGCUCUCUCGCAUGGACCUAGGGAUGGUAAGCGGCAUCGAAGCCCUCCCCAGCGAGCUAUGGCAACGGGCGGAGUUCUCCACUAUGAUGGCGGCUAGGUGUUGCGAUUAGUGUAUUGUGUGUUGAUUCUAUGAUGAUGUGCUUGUGUACUUCGGUUCUCGGAUGUUGAGCGAUGAAUGUUCGAUUGUGACGUG
This 759-nucleotide small RNA is filed under the name Oryza sativa Japonica Group (Japanese rice). RNAcentral describes it as "sRNA Os05g0412500". The record is from RNAcentral. Lineage: Eukaryota; Viridiplantae; Streptophyta; Magnoliopsida; Poales; Poaceae.